Molecule: ribosomal RNA, 495 nt
Filed under: uncultured bacterium
Lineage: Bacteria
Description: bacterial SSU rRNA
Rfam family: Bacterial small subunit ribosomal RNA
Source: RNAcentral
AUCCUGGCUUAGGAUGAACGCUGGCGGCGUGCUUAACACAUGCAAGUCGAACGAAGCAUUCCGUAACCCUCGGGGGAGGGAAUGACUGAGUGGCGGACGGGUGAGUAACGCGUGGGUAACCUGCCUUAUACAGGGGGAUAACAGUUAGAAAUGACUGCUAAUACCGCAUAACCCGCUAGUACCGCAUGGUACAGACGGAAAAGAUUUAUCGGUAUAAGAUGGACCCGCGUCUGAUUAGCUAGUUGGUGAGGUAACGGCCCACCAAGGCGACGAUCAGUAGCCGGCUUGAGAGAGUGAACGGCCACAUUGGGACUGAGACACGGCCCAAACUCCUACGGGAGGCAGCAGUGGGGAAUAUUGCACAAUGGGGGAAACCCUGAAUGCAGCAACGCCGCGUGAAGGAAGAAGUAUUUCGGUAUGUAAACUUCUAUCAGCAGGAAAGAAAAUGACGGUACCUGACUAAGAAGCCCCGGCUAACUACGUGCCAGCAGCAGC